CCUGCCCCUAGAAGCACUGUAGAUGUGGCUGCCGUGUCACAUGUGCAUCAGUAGGUGGCAGAGAGGAGAGAAGCUGUGUCUGUGCUCCGUGUUCUGACCUAUGAACAUCUGAAUGAUUAGUAGCCUAACAUU
Small nucleolar RNA from Acomys russatus (golden spiny mouse), 132 nucleotides. RefSeq annotates it as small nucleolar RNA SNORA17. NCBI's taxonomy places the organism in Eukaryota, Metazoa, Chordata, Mammalia, Rodentia, Muridae. The record is from RefSeq and is a predicted model, not a curated record. The transcript has a single exon.